GCCGCGGUAGCUCAGUUGGUAGGGCAUCGGACAAGUUAUUCAAAGGUCGCAGGUUCGGUCCCUGCCCGCGGCA
Molecule: transfer RNA, 73 nt
Filed under: Rhipicephalus sanguineus (brown dog tick)
Lineage: Eukaryota; Metazoa; Arthropoda; Arachnida; Ixodida; Ixodidae
Description: transfer RNA threonine (anticodon AGU)
Rfam family: tRNA
About the family: Transfer RNA (tRNA) molecules are approximately 80 nucleotides in length.
Source: Rfam by way of RNAcentral